Long non-coding RNA from Vicia villosa (hairy vetch), 959 nucleotides. RefSeq lists it as uncharacterized. The record is from RefSeq and is a predicted model, not a curated record. The transcript has 7 exons. NCBI's taxonomy places the organism in Eukaryota, Viridiplantae, Streptophyta, Magnoliopsida, Fabales, Fabaceae.
GAUCUGUGUCCGUUUCUUGUUAUGGGCAGAAAAAAUAUCUAGAGCUAACUAAAGGUGCUGCUGACAAUUACCACCAUUUCUGGUGGAAAAGACAUGGAGUUGUCCUUGAUGGUGAGAUAGCUGCUGUUGCCUUUAAACAUGGACAUUUUGACCAAGCUGCAAAGUCAUAUGAGAAGGUUUGUGCACUGUAUAAUGGGGAAGGAUGGCAGGACUUGUUGGCCGAGGUCCUUCCUAUUCUAGGAGAGUGUCAAAAUAUUCUUAAUGAUCAAAGCUGGCUACUUGCUAUCCUGUGUGCGGCUACUUUAUCUUGAAGAUGGAUUAUUUCAGAAACCAGGGUCAUAUGUUCUUGGAGUUCUUAUUGGGCAGUUGAGGUUUAGAUCUCAUGGUGUUUCAAAAGUUGGUCCUGCAGAGAGUGAUGAUGUUAUGGCCUAUUCUGGUGUAUCAGACAAUGAUGAGGACGAGAAUUGGGCAAGUGACGCUCCUUCUAUACUCUAGGCUCUAAAUCGUGCCAUCAGUGACACACUCAACAUAGGAUUAUCUUCAGUCACAACAAGGAGAGAGUAUUGUAGAUGGAAUGAGAACGAUAGCUCUAAAACUUGAAAUUGGAGCAUUCCAUAAUCAGAUAUUUGAAAGGAUACAAACUACAUUGACUUUGGGUUUGAGUUACAAACAAGUGUUGAUGACGCGAUAGCAGCAAACAGUAUCUCAGACUCCACUUUUCAAAUAGGUGCUUCCUGGCAAGCCAAUAAGAACUUCUUGCUGAAGGCAAAAGUUGGACCUAAAAGCUCAACAAUGGCUGUUGCAUUCAAGUCAUGGUGGAAACCUUCUUUCACAUUCAACAUUUCAGCCACCAGAGAUCGUGCAGACGGUCAAUUGCAAUAUGGAUUUGGCCUCCAAAGUGAAAUUCUCAGAGAAGCCAGUUAUCAAAGAGCUUAUCCCAAUUUCGUAAUGCUCACCCC